CCCUUAGAUGUUCUGGGCGGCCCGCGCACUACAAUGGCGCGUUCAUCGAGAACCAAGGUUGAAUUAUUCGAGGUAUUCUUGCAAAACGCGUCUUGAUUGGGAUAGAUCCUUGUAAUUGUUGGUCUUGAACGAGGAAUUCCUUGUAAGCGUGGUUUAUCAUCCCACGUUGAAUGCGUCCCUGCCCUUUGUACACACCGCCCGUCGCUCCUACCGAUGAAUUGUCCGGUGAAGUUCGUGGAGAGCUGUUUCACUGAGAUGUGCUUAAAGCGAGAUGAACCUAGCGGUUUAGAGGAAGGAGAAGUCGUAACA
This 309-nucleotide ribosomal RNA is filed under the name uncultured eukaryote. RNAcentral describes it as "partial 18S ribosomal RNA". It matches the Rfam family "Eukaryotic small subunit ribosomal RNA", at positions 1470 to 1796 of the family's 1831-position model. The record is from RNAcentral.